CGCUCCUGCGCGGGAUCCCGCACUCCGGCCCGCGAUGCCGCGCUCCGGCCUGGCCCCGGCUCCCGCAGGGCAGCGGGAAGCGGCCUUUUGGUCCCAGGCAUCGGCGUUCGGUCUGCUUAGCUUCCGCGGGUGACUGGGGCCGGCGGCGGGUCGCCCCCGGCCGGAGGAUGCUACUGCCGGGAACAGGAGGGGACGCGGAGGCCCCGGGCGCGCCGGAGCCACGGCAGGCCGGAGGCGGCGGUUCCGGCCCCCUGCAGCCCCCGGCCGCCGCCACCGUUGCCCGGGGGUCGGAAUCUCCGCGCCGCAGAGGCUGCGCACUGUUGCUCCCCGCAGCUCCCGAGGUUUACCGCCGGCUGCUCUCCCCCGGGGCCCUGACGUUUCCAGGAAUCUCAAGAAAAAUCCUGGAGAAAAAGCCGUGUUGUCAACAGAGUGCUGGUCAUCUGGGAGAGGGGGAAUUCCCUGGAAAUGGCCUUAUUGCAGACCUCGGAGUUAAACACCGAGGAAAACCAGAGAAAACACUACGCUUUGAAUAAUACGCUCCUCACCAGCCCUCCAGAAACGAACAGGAGGAUUGUCUUUACUGGGAAAUAUAAUCUAUCUGGGAUCAGAAAAGGUCCAAGCAAUGGAUCACUGAGGCUAGUUACGGCAGGAUGAAGACCUUGUCAGUCAGCCAGAACAGAGCUUUAUCUGGAACCUGGUCAGUUCGUGCACAUUCUGAAGCAGUGAGUCCUCGGAGUGCUCCAGGAUCCCUGGAAAAGAUGGCAUAAACAACUUUGGCACCUCGCAGUCCACUAGGUACAGCACAGAACCAGAAGGGGUGAGACUGCUGAGCUGCAUCCUUCACUGUAAAGCUGCUGUGCCUCCCGUUGCCAGGCUUGCAUUCCUCCUGGUGUCCCUGCUCUUUCUCUCCAUGGAGGGCUGAGUUCCUGCACUUUGUAAUGCCUUGCUUGGUAACCAUCUGGUGUAUUGAGGGGUGACUGAUUAUGAUGCACCAGGGAGGCAUCUUAUGGCAGACAGGAAUGCGUGUUAAAGUUGCAGAUCUUUGUCCUGAGAAGUGAAGUGAAGGAAUUCAGAUUUUGUGUGGCUUGGCUUUACUGAGCCCUCUUCAGCUUUCUGACCUCUGAUUCAGGUCACUCAGGGGAGAGUUCGUUCAGAGCACUCCUGCUGUCCUUCCAAAGCUCAGGAAAAUGUUGUAUUACUUUUCAUGGCUGAGAAAGGGGCUCUGAGGAAGAGUGUAAGUCUGUAGGUCUGGUGUAACAGCCUUUCUGAUCCCUAAACACUUAAAUCUGGUACCGUUCAACUCCUUGACAUACUGAACUUGAUUGAACAUCAAAGUGUCACAGAUUUUUGGUAAUUUUAUAAUAGUUCAGAAUGAGAGGUUCACUGAGUUGUAAUCUUUUGAUAAGAGCCUCCCUACAUUGAAUAGAUUGGCCUCAGUACAAAAAGAAGCCCAGAGAAAGCUGAAAGAAUUGGAGUCCUGCUCCAGACAAUGGAGAUCUGGCAUCUUUAUUGGUAGGAGUAAAGUGCAUAGGAGGCAAGCAGAUUUUUAAUAAUUGAGAAUAAUGUUAUGGGAGGUAUUCUUUUAAUUUAAUACCCUUGAAAGUGAAAUGUCCUGCAUAAUGUGUUCCACUAUGUCCUGAGAUAUGUCCCUGUAUGUUCAGUGUAUUGGACUAUGCUGUACCAAAGCUUAUGAAUUCCAUCAUACCCUGCCAGGACUAAGGCAGCCACACCGCAGCCCUGGCUCAGACCAAGCUCCCUGGCUCAUUGCUUGGGUCUUGUGUUGUGUGUAAAUUACUCCCUACAGCACUACUCACCAACAGAAUCCUGCUUUCUCUCAGUCAUGCUACUGCUGCCUCCUGACCCUGAGGCCAGGGGUUGCAAAGAACUCCAGGAGAGCAGUAGAGCCCCCUUAAAUCCUGGGAACAUUGUGAUGUGAUGUGAUGUGGUGUGCUGGGUGAUGCUCUGGUAGGAACCAUCUCUUGAAACACACCAGAAUUAUUGUUACAGUGAUAAGCAUCUUGUCCUGCAUCAUGUUUUGGAGCUCAUUACUACUAUUUCUAGAUGUUCACAGCUAAUUUCCUAUUCAUUUUGAAAGAAGAAAUAAAAAAUAAAAGGUGAGGUUUUGCUACUUUA
Molecule: long non-coding RNA, 2133 nt
Organism: Serinus canaria (Common canary)
Lineage: Eukaryota; Metazoa; Chordata; Aves; Passeriformes; Fringillidae
Exons: 2
Source: RefSeq, a predicted model, not a curated record